Molecule: ribosomal RNA, 253 nt
Filed under: uncultured bacterium
Lineage: Bacteria
Description: partial 16S ribosomal RNA
Rfam family: Bacterial small subunit ribosomal RNA
Source: RNAcentral
UACGGAGGGUGCAAGCGUUAUCCGGAUUCACUGGGUUUAAAGGGUGCGUAGGUGGGCAGGUAAGUCAGUGGUGAAAUCUUUGGGCUUAACCCGAAAACUGCCAUUGAUACUAUUUGUCUUGAAUAUUGUGGAGGUCAGCGGAAUAUGUCAUGUAGCGGUGAAACGCUUAGAUAUGACAUAGAACACCAAUUGCGAAGGCAGCUGGCUACGCAUAUAUUGACACUGAUGCACGAAAGCGUGGGGAUCAAACAGG